This 870-nucleotide ribosomal RNA is filed under the name uncultured bacterium. RNAcentral's name for it is "bacterial SSU rRNA". It matches the Rfam family "Bacterial small subunit ribosomal RNA", at positions 21 to 906 of the family's 1533-position model. The record is from RNAcentral.
GGCUCAGGAUAAACGCUGGCGGCGUGCCUAACACAUGCAAGUCGAACGAAGAGGCCCCUUCGGGGGUACUUCAGUGGCGGACGGGUGAGUACAACAUAGGUGACCUACCCUAAAGCGGGGGAUAACAGUCCGAAAGGAUUGCUAAUACCCCAUGUGGUCAUUGAGGUUUGAGUCUUAAUGACUAAAGGAGUAAUCCGCUUUGGGAGGGGCCUGUGGCCCAUCAGCUAGUUGGCAGGGUAAUGGCCUACCAAGGCUACGACGGGUAGGGGGCCUGAGAGGGUGACCCCCCACAUUGGCACUGACACACGGGCCAAACUCCUACGGGAGGCAGCAGUGAGGAAUAUUGCACAACGAGCGAAAGCUUGAUGCAGCAACGCCGCGUGAGCGAUGAAGGCCUUCGGGUCGUAAAGCUCUUUUGAGGGAGACGAGAUAGGACGGUAUCUCUCGAAUAAGUCACGGCUAACUACGUGCCAGCAGCCGCGGUAAAACGUAGGUGGCGAGCGUUAUCCGGAUUCACUGGGCGUAAAGCGAGUGCAGGUGGCUUUGUAAGUUGGAUGUGAAAUUUCCCGGCUUAACCGGGAAGGGUCAUUCAAUACUGCGAGGCUUGAGGGCAAAAGAGGGGGGUGGAAUUGCCGGUGUAGUGGUGAAAUGCGUAGAUAUCGGCAGGAACACCUGUGGCGAAAGCGGCCCCCUGGUUUGCUCCCGACACUCAGACUCGAAAGCUAGGGUAGCGAACGGGAUUAGAAACCCCGGUAGUCCUAGCCGUAAACGAUGGAUGCUAGGUGUGAGUGGUAUUGACCCCAUUCGUGCCAAAGCCAACGCGUUAAGCAUCCCGCCUGGGGACUACGGCCGCAAGGUUAAAACUCAAAU